This is a long non-coding RNA of Gymnodraco acuticeps, 1527 nucleotides long. RefSeq lists it as uncharacterized. The transcript has 2 exons. Lineage: Eukaryota; Metazoa; Chordata; Actinopteri; Perciformes; Bathydraconidae. The record is from RefSeq and is a predicted model, not a curated record.
UCCAAUCCAGAUAUGAGAAUUGUCCUCUUGUUAGAGUGUGAGCAUCAUGCUAGAGAGUCUUAUUGAGGAGUUGUUAUUAUAGGUGGUGGACUGGUUAGGCUAGUACGCAGUGUCCAGCGGCAGGAACUCCGGCUAGCUUCGGUACAAACUGACCCCGGACCCCGGGUGCGGCGGCUCGGUGAUGAGGAGCGACUAAACCAGCCAUGUCCCCUUCCCCCUGUCACCAGUUUACGGUCGGAAACAGCUUGUCUUCCGUGGGAUGUGACAUUAUCGAGUGAUGGUCAAGAUGUAAAGAGUGAUACAAAGUUUCCAGCAGCACCAGCAACGCCGCACCGCGCAGUCGCACCAGCUCAGCGAAGAGAGGAGGGACUAAUGAUGCCUUCAAGCAAUGUCGGAAAUCUGCUGUUAACGUCUCGAAGACAUAUGACCCACCCAGCGAAAAACAGAAAGAAGGGCACAGUGGCAGCAAGGUGGUCCAGACAGCCCUCCCACUAGCAAUGUUUUCCAGCUCCUCCUGUGGGAGCCUGAGGCGUUCCCAAGCCAGAUGAGAUAUAUAAUCUCUCCAGUUUCUGUGUCUCCAACCAGUUGGAUGUGCCUGGAAAACCUCCAAAGGAAUGCACCAGUAAAUGUACUUGUCAGAUGCCCUGACCUCCUCAACUGGCUAUUUGUGAUGCAAGGAGGCAUCAGCUCCACUCAAGGUCAGGCCACCAUCAUCUGCCCACCAUCAUCUGCAAAAAGCAAAGAACCAUUUCCAAAGUCUCGAAACCGGACCCUCUCCUCCCUCUUGCUGCACCUUGAGAACCAUUCAAUUAAAACCGGAUUGGGGACAAGCAACAACACUGAGGCCAACAAGCAUUGAAGCUAUUCACAGCCAACAAGCAUUGAAGCUAUUCACAGCCAACAAGCAUUGAAGCUAUUCACAUCCUUCUGAGACACAUCUGGUACCCUAAACUUCCGCAAUACCCACCACAGAACAAACCCCAGCUACCACAAUUGUCUAAUUCAACCUAAGUCACCAAAACAUCUGUGAGUAAACUGCCAUGACCCCUUUAAUAACACUGUAAGGGUUAGAGCACUGGUCUACCUUUAUACAACCAAGAGAGAAUACUAACAGCUCGUCCUGGAUCUGAGGUUCGUGAUCGGCCAUAGCCUCUUUUCCACACCCUGUCCAACACUGAAGGGCACCGUUUUAAAAUCAGGGCUAUGCUAUUUGUAUACUCAUUUACAGCUUCACGUCAUUUGAUUAUUUGCAUAUUUGUUUGGGAAUUACCAUUUCCAAACAAAUAUGCUUGGAAAUGCAUAUUUUGACUCAAGCGCAUGUGCAUUUGAGUCAAAAUGCACAUGCUGCAUAAUCAUUUCUUACAUUAAAUUAAUUCAAAGGAUUGUCAAAAGGGGCCCACAGAUCAUUAAGCCCCCAAGCAAGUUUAAUCCAGUUAAAAAUACACCAUUUUAGCUAAUGAUGAGAUCAAUUUCCAUUUUCCACAGACACACAUCGAGUCUCGGCUGAAAUAAACGGUGCACCUUUAU